This 601-nucleotide ribosomal RNA is filed under the name Heterlimnius sp. FC_D18. RNAcentral describes it as "SSU rRNA". It matches the Rfam family "Eukaryotic small subunit ribosomal RNA", at positions 22 to 602 of the family's 1831-position model. The record is from RNAcentral. Lineage: Eukaryota; Metazoa; Arthropoda; Insecta; Coleoptera; Elmidae. RNAcentral also lists the same sequence under 5 other names.
AGUCAUAUGCUUGUCUCAAAGAUUAAGCCAUGCAUGUCUCAGUACAAGCCGAAUUAAGGUGAAACCGCGAAAGGCUCAUUAAAUCAGUUAUGGUUCCUUAGAUCGUACCCACAUUUACUUGGAUAACUGUGGUAAUUCUAGAGCUAAUACAUGCAAACAGAGCUCCGACCGGAGACGGAAGGAGCGCUUUUAUUAGAUCAAAACCAAUCGGCGGCGGGCUCGCUCGUCGUCGUACACCUUGGUGAAUCUGAAUAACUUACUGCUGAUCGCAUGGUCUCGCACCGGCGACGCAUCUUUCAAAUGUCUGCCUUAUCAACUGUCGAUGGUAGGUUCUGCGCCUACCAUGGUUGUAACGGGUAACGGGGAAUCAGGGUUCGAUUCCGGAGAGGGAGCCUGAGAAACGGCUACCACAUCCAAGGAAGGCAGCAGGCGCGCAAAUUACCCACUCCCGGCACGGGGAGGUAGUGACGAAAAAUAACGAUACGGGACUCAUCCGAGGCCCCGUAAUCGGAAUGAGUACAGCCUAAACCCUUUAACGAGGAUCAAUUGGAGGGCAAGUCUGGUGCCAGCAGCCGCGGUAAUUCCAGCUCCAAUAGCGUAU